RNAcentral lists this ribosomal RNA (1495 nucleotides) under metagenome. RNAcentral's name for it is "bacterial LSU rRNA". It matches the Rfam family "Bacterial large subunit ribosomal RNA", at positions 1431 to 2925 of the family's 2925-position model. The record is from RNAcentral.
AAAUAUUCCUGUACCGAUGUGUAGUGCGAUGUGGGGACGGAGAAGGUUAGCUCAGCCAACUGUUGGAUAUGUUGGUUCAAGCCUGUAGUCGUGCCUGGUAGGUAAAUCCGCCGGGCUUAGAUGAGGGGUGAUAACGAGGCUGCUUGCAGUCGAAGUGAGUGAUACCCUGCUUCCAGGAAAAGCCACUAAGCUUCAGCUACACACGACCGUACCGCAAACCGACACUGGUGCGCGAGAUGAGUAUUCUAAGGCGCUUGAGAGAACUCAGGAGAAGGAAUUCGGCAAAUUGACACCGUAACUUCGGAAGAAGGUGUGCCUUUAGUAGGUGAACCUGUACAAGGGGAGCCCAAUGAGGUUGCAAAAAAUCGGUGGCUGCGACUGUUUAAUAAAAACACAGCACUCUGCAAACACGAAAGUGGACGUAUAGGGUGUGACGCCUGCCCGGUGCUGGAAGAUUAAAUGAUGGGGUGCAAGCUCUUGAUUGAAGUCCCAGUAAACGGCGGCCGUAACAAUAACGGUCCUAAGGUAGCGAAAUUCCUUGUCGGGUAAGUUCCGACCUGCACGAAUGGCGUAACGAUGGCCACACUGUCUCCUCCUGAGACUCAGCGAAGUUGAAAUGUUUGUGAUGAUGCAAUCCCCGCGGAAAGACGGAAAGACCCCAUGAACCUUUACUGUAGCUUUGUAUUGGACUUUGAACAGAUCUGUGUAGGAUAGGUGGGAGGCUUUGAAGUGUGGUCGCUAGAUCGCAUGGAGCCAACGUUGAAAUACCACCCUGGUGUGUUUGAGGUUCUAACCUAGGCCCGUAAUCCGGGUCGGGGACAGUGCAUGGUAGGCAGUUUGACUGGGGCGGUCUCCUCCCAAAGCGUAACGGAGGAGUUCGAAGGUACGCUAGGUACGGUCGGACAUCGUGCUAAUAGUGCAAUGGCAUAAGCGUGCUUAACUGCGAGACUGACAAGUCGAGCAGAUGCGAAAGCAGGACAUAGUGAUCCGGUGGUUCUGUAUGGAAGGGCCAUCGCUCAACGGAUAAAAGGUACUCUGGGGAUAACAGGCUGAUACCGCCCAAGAGUUCAUAUCGACGGCGGUGUUUGGCACCUCGAUGUCGGCUCAUCUCAUCCUGGGGCUGUAGCCGGUCCCAAGGGUAUGGCUGUUCGCCAUUUAAAGAGGUACGUGAGCUGGGUUUAAAACGUCGUGAGACAGUUUGGUCCCUAUCUUCCGUGGGCGCUGCAGAUUUGAGGAAGCCUGCUCCUAGUACGAGAGGACCGGAGUGGACACACCUCUGGUGUAUCGGUUGUCACGCCAGUGGCAUUGCCGAGUAGCUAUGUGUGGAAGAGAUAACCGCUGAAAGCAUCUAAGCGGGAAACUCGUUUCAAGAUGAGAUCUGCCGGGGCCUUGAGCCCCCUAAAGAGUCGUUCAAGACCAGGACGUUGAUAGGUCGGGUGUGGAAGCGCAGUAAUGCGUUAAGCUAACCGAUACUAAUUGCUCGUGCGGCUUGAUC